AACGAACGCUGGCGGCAUGCCUAACACAUGCAAGUCGAACGAGACCUUCGGGUCUAGUGGCGCACGGGUGCGUAACGCGUGGGAACCUGCCCUUAGGUUCGGAAUAACUCCCCGAAAGGGGUGCUAAUACCGGAUAAUGUCUUCGGACCAAAGAUUUAUCGCCUUUGGAUGGGCCCGCGUUGGAUUAGCUAGUUGGUAGGGUAAAAGCCUACCAAGGCGACGAUCCAUAGCUGGUCUGAGAGGAUGAUCAGCCACACUGGGACUGAGACACGGCCCAGACUCCUAAGGGAGGCAGCAGUGGGGAAUAUUGGACCAUGGGCGAGAGCAUGAUCCAGCAAUGCCGCGUGAGUGAUGAAGGCCUUAGGGUUGUAAAGCUCUUUUACCCGGGAUGAUAACGACAGCACCGGGAGAAUGCGCGCCGGCUACCUCCGUG
This 433-nucleotide ribosomal RNA is filed under the name uncultured bacterium. RNAcentral describes it as "partial 16S ribosomal RNA". It matches the Rfam family "Bacterial small subunit ribosomal RNA", at positions 29 to 507 of the family's 1533-position model. The record is from RNAcentral.